RNAcentral lists this ribosomal RNA (546 nucleotides) under uncultured Chlorophyta. RNAcentral describes it as "SSU rRNA". It matches the Rfam family "Eukaryotic small subunit ribosomal RNA", at positions 597 to 1155 of the family's 1831-position model. The record is from RNAcentral. Lineage: Eukaryota; Viridiplantae; Chlorophyta.
GCGUAUAUUUAAGUUGUUGCAGCUAAAAAGCUCGUAGUUGGAUUUUGGUUAAGAGGGCGCGGUCGGCCGUUUGGUCUGUACUGCGUUGUCUUGACUUCCUGAUGAGGACAUGCUCUUGGUUAACGCUGAGACAUGGAGUCAUCGUGGUUACUUUGAAAAAAUUAGAGUGUUCAAAGCGGGCUUACGCUUGAAUAUAUUAGCAUGGAAUAACACUAUAGGACUCCUGUCCUAUCUCGUUGGUCUCGGGAUGGGAGUAAUGAUUAAGAGGAACAGUUGGGGGCAUUCGUAUUUCAUUGUCAGAGGUGAAAUUCUUGGAUUUAUGAAAGACGAACUUCUGCGAAAGCAUUUGCCAAGGAUGUUUUCAUUAAUCAAGAACGAAAGUUGGGGGCUCGAAGAUGAUUAGAUACCAUCCUAGUCUCAACCAUAAACGAUGCCGACUAGGGAUUGGUGGAUGUUAAUUGAUGACUUCACCAGCACCUUAUGAGAAAUCAAAGUUUUUGGGUCCCGGGGGGAGUAUGGUCGCAAGGCUGAAACUUAAAGGAAUUG